GUCGAACGGUAGAGGGGGCAACCCCUCGAGAGUGGCGAACGGGUGAGUAAUAUAUCGGAACGUGCCCAGUCGUGGGGGAUAACGUAGCGAAAGUUACGCUAAUACCGCAUACGAUCUAUGGAUGAAAGCGGGGGAUCGCAAGACCUCGCGCGAUUGGAGCGGCCGAUAUCAGAUUAGGUAGUUGGUGGGGUAAAGGCUCACCAAGCCAACGAUCUGUAGCUGGUCUGAGAGGACGACCAGCCACACUGGAACUGAGACACGGUCCAGACUCCUACGGGAGGCAGCAGUGGGGAAUUUUGGACAAUGGACGCAAGUCUGAUCCAGCCAUUCCGCGUGCAGGAUGAAGGCCCUCGGGUUGUAAACUGCUUUUGUACGGAACGAAAAGGUUUCUCUUAAUACGAGGAGCUCAUGACGGUACCGUAAGAAUAAGCACCGGCUAACUACGUGCCAGCAGCCGCGGUAAUACGUAGGGUGCAAGCGUUAAUCGGAAUUACUGGGCGUAAAGCGUGCGCAGGCGGUUAUGUAAGACAGAGGUGAAAUCCCCGGGCUCAACCUGGGAACUGCCUUUGUGACUGCAUAGCUAGAGUACGGUAGAGGGGGAUGGAAUUCCGCGUGUAGCAGUGAAAUGCGUAGAUAUGCGGAGGAACACCGAUGGCGAAGGCAAUCCCCUGGACCUGUACUGACGCUCAUGCACGAAAGCGUGGGGAGCAAACAGGAUUAGAUACCCUGGUAGUCCACGCCCUAAACGAU
RNAcentral lists this ribosomal RNA (750 nucleotides) under uncultured bacterium. Its description in RNAcentral is "bacterial SSU rRNA". It matches the Rfam family "Bacterial small subunit ribosomal RNA", at positions 61 to 810 of the family's 1533-position model. The record is from RNAcentral.